CCCAACCAAACAAGGGUACUUCUUUUUGCAGUGACUAAAGUGUUCUUUCCUCCCACAUCCCCAAUUGUUCAAUAUAUAAUUAGAGGCUGCAAUCACAAGAAAAAAAAAAAAAAAAAAAAAAAACAGGGCAAAGAAUCUUAUUGGCUCGCAGGCAAUUUACUUCACUCAGCUCUUCUAUCACAUAGCAGAUCCUGGUGUUACUUUUCCAACCUUCAAUUAUAAACAUUCAAUCU
Molecule: long non-coding RNA, 233 nt
Filed under: Homo sapiens (human)
Lineage: Eukaryota; Metazoa; Chordata; Mammalia; Primates; Hominidae
Description: non-protein coding lnc-USP35-18:2
Source: RNAcentral